RNAcentral lists this ribosomal RNA (119 nucleotides) under Lemna minor. The record is from RNAcentral. Lineage: Eukaryota; Viridiplantae; Streptophyta; Magnoliopsida; Alismatales; Araceae.
GGGUGCGAUCAUACCAGCACUAGAGCACCGGAUCCCAUCAGAACUCCGAAGUUAAGCGUGCUUGGGCGAGAGCAGUACUAGGAUGGGUGACCUCCUGGGAAGUCCUCGUGUUGCACCCU